RNAcentral lists this ribosomal RNA (163 nucleotides) under Penstemon fruticosus var. serratus. RNAcentral's name for it is "5.8S ribosomal RNA". It matches the Rfam family "5.8S ribosomal RNA". From Rfam's summary of the family: 5.8S ribosomal RNA (5.8S rRNA) is a component of the large subunit of the eukaryotic ribosome. It is transcribed by RNA polymerase I as part of the 45S precursor that also contains 18S and 28S rRNA. Lineage: Eukaryota; Viridiplantae; Streptophyta; Magnoliopsida; Lamiales; Plantaginaceae. The record is from RNAcentral.
AAAACGACUCUCGGCAACGGAUAUCUCGGCUCUCGCAUCGAUGAAGAACGUAGCGAAAUGCGAUACUUGGUGUGAAUUGCAGAAUCCGUGAACCAUCGAGUCUUUGAACGCAAGUUGCGCCCGAAGCCAUUAGGCCGUGGGCACGUCUGCCUGGGCGUCACGC